Molecule: ribosomal RNA, 400 nt
Filed under: uncultured bacterium
Lineage: Bacteria
Description: bacterial SSU rRNA
Rfam family: Bacterial small subunit ribosomal RNA
Source: RNAcentral
GGGAAGAUAAUGACGGGACCCCANGAAUAAGGGACGGCUAACUACCUGCCAACAACCCCGGUAAUACCUAGGUCCCGAACCUUGCGCGAAAUUACUGGGCCUAAAGGGUCCCUAAGCUGUCUGGUAAGUGGAAGGUGAAAUCCUACGGCUCAACCGUAAAAUUGCCUUCCAAACUGCUGGACUUGAGGCAGGGAGAGGUCGGCGGAAUUCCCGGUGUANCGGUGAAAUGCGUANAUNUCGGGAGGAACACCAGUGGCGAAGGCGGCCGACUGGAACUGUCCUGACGCUGAAGGACGAAAGCUAGGGGAGCAAACCGGAUUAAAUACCCGGGUAGUCCUANCCGUAAACNAUGGAUGCUAGAUGUGGCCUACNAAAGUAGGCUGUGCCGCAAGCUAACGCG